Molecule: ribosomal RNA, 522 nt
Filed under: uncultured bacterium
Lineage: Bacteria
Description: bacterial SSU rRNA
Rfam family: Bacterial small subunit ribosomal RNA
Source: RNAcentral
AAUAGAUACCCCGGUAGUCCACGCCCUAAACGAUGCGAACUGGAUGUUGGGUUCAACUUGGAACUCAGUAUCGAAGCUAACGCGUUAAGUUCGCCGCCUGGGGAGUACGGCCGCAAGGCUGAAACUCAAAGGAAUUGACGGGGGCCCGCACAAGCGGUGGAGUAUGUGGUUUAAUUCGAUGCAACGCGAAGAACCUUACCUGGCCUUGACAUGCACGGAAGCUUCCAGAGAUGGGAGUGUGCCUUCGGGAACCGUGACACAGGUGCUGCAUGGCUGUCGUCAGCUCGUGUCGUGAGAUGUUGGGUUAAGUCCCGCAACGAGCGCAACCCUUGUCCUUAGUUGCCAGCACGUAAUGGUGGGAACUCUAGGGAGACCGCCGAUGACAAAUCGGAGGAAGGUGGGGACGACGUCAAGUCAUCAUGGCCCUUACGGCCAGGGCUACACACGUACUACAAUGGUGGGGACAGAGGGCUGCAAGCGCGCGAGCGUGAGCCAAUCCCAGAAACCCCAUCUCAGUCCGGA